CUUUCAAACCCACAAAAAAAGGCUUUCAAACCCACAAAAAAAGGCAAAAAUAGGAAUAAAAACGAAAUUCUAGAAAAUUCUUUCAGACAAAGACAUCGUGCUUGAAUUGUCAAACAAAAUUCUUUAUCGUCUCCUUCUCUUCAUUCUCUGCAAUUUACAACCAUCUUACCAAAGGAAGUAAAACAGACUGUGUAUGGCUGAAAACCCAUCACUUGGCAAGGAGGUUUCUUUGGAUCUGGCCAGAGAAUUGCUUAUUGCAAUUUCUGAGUCUCUACCAGAAAAACUCGAGUCUGAGUCUCUACCUGAUAUUCUCAGUUUCGAAUCGGGCAAGGAAUCUACAAAUGAUCAUGGUGCUGCUUUGGUGAUAGGUGCGGAUAAAGAAGAAGAGCUUAGGUCAGAGUUGAUCUCAAUCUCGUAUGUACCUUCACCGGACAAGAUUGCACUUCCAGCUAAUGAUCAUCUAUGAAUAUGAUAUAUUGAUAGCACAGAUGAUGUGUAUUAUAUCUUGUUGGAAAGAUAUAGUUUACUGCCUUAGCUUUCUUUGACUAAUUCUUGAAAGUUUGACCAUUAGACAUGUACAUUAUGUGUUAUUGCAAGUUGUGUAUGAUUUGUGUGAUAUGAAUAUAUGAUAAGAUUGUUACAUUUGAUUUGGUUCU
Molecule: long non-coding RNA, 656 nt
Organism: Chenopodium quinoa (quinoa)
Lineage: Eukaryota; Viridiplantae; Streptophyta; Magnoliopsida; Caryophyllales; Amaranthaceae
Exons: 2
Source: RefSeq, a predicted model, not a curated record